Molecule: ribosomal RNA, 1212 nt
Filed under: uncultured bacterium
Lineage: Bacteria
Description: bacterial SSU rRNA
Rfam family: Bacterial small subunit ribosomal RNA
Source: RNAcentral
GACCACCUGGUCGGCGGGUUAAAGCUUCGGCGGCGGGGGAUGGCCAUGCGUGCCAUUAGCUGGUUGGUGGGGUAAUAGCCCACCAAGGCGAUGAUGGCUAGGGGGUCUGAGAGGACUGUCCCCCACACUGGUACUGAGACACGGACCAGACUCCUACGGGAGGCAGCAGUGAGGAAUAUUGGACAAUGGAUGGAAAUCUGAUCCAGCCAUGCCGCGUGCAGGAAGACGGCCUUAUGGGUUGUAAACUGCUUUUAUACGGGAGCAAUAAGGGUUACGAGUAAUCCGAUGAGAGUACUGUAUGAAUAAGGAUCGGCUAACUCCGUGCCAGCAGCCGCGGUAAUACGGAGGAUCCGAGCGUUAUCCGGAAUUAUUGGGUUUAAAGGGUGCGUAGGCGGCCAUUUAAGUCAGCGGUGAAAUUUUGCAGCUUAACUGUAACAGUGCCGUUGAUACUGUUUGGCUAGGAUUUGGUUGUAGUGUGCGGAAUGUGUGGUGUAGCGGUGAAAUGCUUAGAUAUCACACAGAACACCGAUUGCGAAGGCAGCACACUAAGUCAUUAUUGACGCUGAGGCACGAAAGUGUGGGGAUCAAACAGGAUUAGAUACCCUGGUAGUCCACACUGUAAACUAUAAAAGUCGCUGUCGGCGAUACACAGUCGGUGGCCAAGAGAAAGCAUUAAGUUUUCCUCCCGGGGGGUGCGACCGCAAGGUUGAAACUCAAAAGAAUUGACGGGGGGCCGCACAAGCGGAGGAACAUGUGGUUUAAUUCGAUGAUACGCGAGGAACCUUACCCGGGCUCGAACGGUGCAUGAAUAUACGAGAGAUUGUAUAGUCCUUCGGGACAUGUAUCGAGGUGCUGCAUGGUUGUCGUCAGCUCGUGCCGUGAGGUGUCGGCUUAAGUGCCAUAACGAGCGCAACCCUUGUCAUUAGUUGCCAUCAGGUCAAGCUGGGGACUUUAAUGAGACUGCCACCGUAAGGUGUGAGGAAGGGGGGGAGGACGUCAAAUCAGCACGGCCCUUAUGUCCGGGGGGACACACGUGUUACAAUGGGAGGUACAGAGGGCAGCUAUCCGGUGACGGAAUGAUAAUCUCCAAAACCUUUCUCAGUUCGGAUUGGAGUGUGCAACUCGACUCCAUGAAGGUGGAUUCGCUAGUAAUCGCGCAUCAGCCAUGGCGCGGUGAAUAAGGUCCCGGGCCUUGUACUCACCGCCCGUCAA